This 433-nucleotide ribosomal RNA is filed under the name uncultured bacterium. RNAcentral's name for it is "partial 16S ribosomal RNA". It matches the Rfam family "Bacterial small subunit ribosomal RNA", at positions 29 to 507 of the family's 1533-position model. The record is from RNAcentral.
AGCGAACGCUGGCGGCAGGCCUAACACAUGCAAGUCGAACGAACUCUUCGGAGUUAGUGGCGGACGGGUGAGUACCACGUGGUAACGUGCAUUUUGGUUAGGUAUAACUCAGGGAAACUUGUGCUCAUACCGCAUGUGCCCUUCGGGGGAAAGAUUUAUCGCUAUUUGAGCGGCCCGCGUCAGAUUCGCUAGUUGGUGAGGUAACGGCUCGCCAAGGCGACGAUCAGUAGCUGGUCUGGGAGGAUGACCAACCACACUGGGACUGAGACACGGCCCACACUCGGACGGGAGGCAGCAGUGGGUAAUCUUGCGCAAGGGGCGAAAGCCUGACGCAGCCAUGCCGCGGAAAUGAUGAAGGUCUUAGGAUUGUAAAAUUCUUUCACCGGGGACGAUAAUGACGGUACCCGGAGAAGAAGCCCCGGCUAACUUCGUG